GCGGCACUAGCUCAGUUGGUAGAGCGCGACCUUGCCAAGGUCGAGGUCACGAGUUCGAGCCUCGUGUUGUGCCGCUCCA
Molecule: transfer RNA, 79 nt
Filed under: Pseudoalteromonas agarivorans DSM 14585
Lineage: Bacteria; Pseudomonadati; Pseudomonadota; Gammaproteobacteria; Alteromonadales; Pseudoalteromonadaceae
Description: tRNA-Gly
Rfam family: tRNA
About the family: Transfer RNA (tRNA) molecules are approximately 80 nucleotides in length. Their secondary structure includes four short double-helical elements and three loops (D, anti-codon, and T loops).
Source: RNAcentral